Nothoprocta perdicaria is the source of this 357-nucleotide long non-coding RNA. RefSeq lists it as uncharacterized. Lineage: Eukaryota; Metazoa; Chordata; Aves; Tinamiformes; Tinamidae. The transcript is spliced from 3 exons. The record is from RefSeq and is a predicted model, not a curated record.
GCUUUACAGAAAUAUGGAAUCAAGAAAUAAAUGUUCAGAUCACUGCAAGCUCAAGCAGGAUAAUUCGAUCAGCAGUAGACUGUACUGACUUCUUCAUGCACAAGAUCACUGAAGACAAAGUCCUCUCUGAAUCUCUAUCUUGGAAUCGAGAUCUUUGAGGUUGUGAAAUUGCCAAGACUUCAGUAUGAAAAAUAACRAAGCACAGCAUGGGAAAGUAAAAUUAUUUGGUCCAUCCUUCUUGGGAAGCUGGAAAUGUGGAGUUCCAUCUCCCCUAGUCUCUAGCUUUGUUAAAGGAGAUGUGUACAGUCAAUACUCAGGAUGGACCUGGGAGCAGUGAAUCCAGUUCCUGGAAAACCC